This 928-nucleotide small RNA is filed under the name Arabidopsis thaliana (thale cress). RNAcentral describes it as "ATSL016700". Lineage: Eukaryota; Viridiplantae; Streptophyta; Magnoliopsida; Brassicales; Brassicaceae. The record is from RNAcentral.
AAUACAUGAUCAUUGUUUUUGAGUAGUCUAAUAAAUCAUGGAAUUAUUGGUUUGAUCAUUUCAUCAAUGUUGUGGUCUUCUUGAACCGUAAUAAGUGUUUGCUUAGUCUCUGGGUUUUGGAUUGUCAACCUUGAUGCAAAUUUUGGAACCAUUGUCUCAGGUUCCAUCAGAGCCAAUUUGGCCAAGCAUUCAGCAAUAGAACUCCUUACACAUUUGUCCUUCCUUUCACAACACUUCAGUAGUGAAACAAGUAUUUGAACCACAAUAGAAUUGUUGAAGCACGCUACAUCAUGACUAACUAACACCUCCUUUGGUGACUGAAUGAGACGAUAACUCUGUUUAACUUGAACAGACUACCAACAACGAGGUUUCCUAGUGCAUAGGAGGUUGCACACUCUCAACGAACAUCAGAUAGGAAAACUUCGUAACAAUUGUUUUAAUGUUGGCAGUAAUUAAGCCUCUAGUUCUUCCAAUCUUGUCAAGACACAAAGUGGUAAGAUGUUGUUUGUCCUAUAGGAGUUGGCUUUCUUGCCAUCUACAUUAUACGCGACACGUAUUAUGAUAACGUAAAGAAAUUUAUGUUAAUUGAUUGAUCAAAAAUAAAGAAGAAUGAUAGAAAGUUAAGUUGUGAAAUACUCUAGUAUAUCUAAAAAAAUUAUGUUGAUAAAAAAGGCUGCAUGUCGGACUACACAUGUAUAAUGGUCGUUCAAGGAUCAUAUCAUCUUGUUCUUUUUAGCCUAUGUCCAUUCACCUUGUAUUCUUCUUUUUCUUUCUAAUUCCGUCCAUUCUAUAAAAUUCUUUCGAAUGAACCAAAUUCAAUUAAUCUCCUUAAUUUUGAUUAAAAACCAUAAAAUCGUGUUCAGAAACUGCACUUAUGUUAAAUGGAACUGUAAUCAUAAUUCGAGUCUUGGUUUUGUAUUGUGAGAAC